This 531-nucleotide ribosomal RNA is filed under the name uncultured Flavobacterium sp. RNAcentral describes it as "bacterial SSU rRNA". It matches the Rfam family "Bacterial small subunit ribosomal RNA", at positions 90 to 619 of the family's 1533-position model. The record is from RNAcentral. Lineage: Bacteria; Pseudomonadati; Bacteroidota; Flavobacteriia; Flavobacteriales; Flavobacteriaceae.
AGAGACCGGCGCACGGGUGCGUAACGCGUAUGCAAUCUACCUUUUACAGGGGAAUAGCCCAGAGAAAUUUGGAUUAAUGCCCCAUGGUAUAAUUGAAUGGCAUCAUUUAAUUAUUAAAGUCACAACGGUAAAAGAUGAGCAUGCGUCCCAUUAGUUAGUUGGUAAGGUAACGGCUUACCAAGACAAUGAUGGGUAGGGGUCCUGAGAGGGAGAUCCCCCACACUGGUACUGAGACACGGACCAGACUCCUACGGGAGGCAGCAGUGAGGAAUAUUGGACAAUGGGCGCAAGCCUGAUCCAGCCGUGCCGCGUGCAGGAAGACGGUCCUAUGGAUUGUAAACUGCUUUUAUACAGGAAGAAACACUCCGACGUGUCGGAGCUUGACGGUACUGUAGGAAUAAGGAUCGGCUAACUCCGUGCCAGCAGCCGCGGUAAUACGGAGGAUCCAAGCGUUAUCCGGAAUCAUUGGGUUUAAAGGGUCCGUAGGCGGUUUAAUAAGUCAGUGGUGAAAUCUGGUCGCUCAACGAUCAA